This 4734-nucleotide small RNA is filed under the name Histoplasma capsulatum var. duboisii H88. Its description in RNAcentral is "Histoplasma capsulatum H88 hypothetical RNA". Lineage: Eukaryota; Fungi; Ascomycota; Eurotiomycetes; Onygenales; Ajellomycetaceae. The record is from RNAcentral.
AACACUCCUCUACAACCUCACUGUAGCCAGCCGUCCUAAACAGUUCCGCCAAUUGCCUCUAACUUUUAUCCUCAUCCGUCAAUUGAGUUCACGAUGUUCUCUCUGAGAACUGCGCAGCCAGCACAGUCUCUUUUCCGCGCUGCGACGAAUACUUACUCGACAUCUCUCCCUCGCUCCGCAAUUGCUGCUAGAUCAUUCGCUACCGUGCAAUCGGACAUCUUCAAGCCUACCAAAUAUGGCGGCAAAUACACAGUUACGCUGAUCCCAGGCGACGGCAUCGGCACGGAAGUAGCAGAAUCAGUGAAAACAAUUUUCAAAGCCGAUAAUGUACCAAUUGAGUGGGAGCAGGUCGACGUUAGCGGGUUGGACGCCGGGAAUAAACAUUCGGAAGAUUUGUUCAAAGAAUCUAUUGCCUCGCUAAAGCGCAACAAGCUCGGUCUCAAGGGUAUCCUUCACACCCCAGUUGAGCGAUCCGGCCAUCAAUCGUUCAAUGUUGCCCUACGUCAGGAACUAGACAUCUAUGCGUCUAUCGUUUUGAUUAAGAACAUUCCCGGCUACAAGACCAGGCAUGACAAUGUCGACCUCUGCAUUAUCCGUGAAAAUACCGAAGGCGAAUAUUCUGGCCUCGAGCAUCAGUCUGUCAGCGGCGUUGUCGAAUCUCUCAAGAUAAUUACUCGUGCCAAGUCAGAACGAAUUGCCAAGUUUGCUUUUAGCUUUGCUCUGGCCAACAACCGCAAGAAGGUUACCUGCAUCCACAAGGCCAACAUCAUGAAAUUGGCCGACGGCCUUUUCCGCUCCACCUUUCAUAAAGUUGCCGAAAGCUACCCCACUCUAGAAACGAAUGAUAUGAUUGUGGAUAAUGCAUCUAUGCAAGCGGUUGCUCGUCCUCAGCAGUUUGACGUCAUGGUUAUGCCUAACCUUUACGGAGGAAUCCUCUCCAACGUUGGAGCUGCUCUCGUCGGUGGCCCCGGUAUUGUACCUGGUUGCAACAUGGGUCGCGAUGUGGCUGUCUUCGAACCGGGAUGUCGACACGUUGGACUUGAUAUUAAAGGCAAGGAUCAAGCUAACCCCACAGCCUUGAUUCUUUCUGGAUCCAUGCUCCUGCGCCACUUGGGUCUCGAUGAGCAUGCCAACAGAAUCUCCAAGGCAGUUUAUGACGUGAUCGGAGAAGGCGUCACCCGCACGCGCGAUAUGGGUGGUCAAGCUUCCACCCAUGAAUUCACCCGUGCUGUCCUCGAUAAGAUGGAAUCAGCUCUGUAAAAAGCGAGAGAAAAAAUAUCCCACUCCAGCUAUACCUAACGCGUCUAGCUAUCAUUUCCUCCACCAACUGACUAUUCAAAAGAAGCAAAAGCCCAAGGCUGAACAUUCCUUUCGAUGGAGAAAAGCCAAGAAUAAUAAAUUCGAGACUGCAUAACGACACGAAACUCUGAAGCCCCGCACUUACUCCUCGCUCCUAUACCACCAAAAAAGAUAAGAAAGUCGAGAAUGAUUUCUCAUUUUCACAGCAUGUAUAUUUUUUUUUUUUCGUCUGUUACAAAAAUCUUUUAGAAUCUACAAUUACACAUGGGCUACUUUUGCUUGUCUUGUCCUGUAUACAUUAGCAAUUAGACAUCUUUCCUCCACCUUUCCCAUUCCGUUCACCGGAAACCCACCUCUCAUCCCAAUUCCCACACCUAGCCCAUCAAUCACGAGAGGAAUGGAUCAGGAGGUGAGGUUGGAGUAUAUGGAACGAAACCCCCGAGUUGACUCCAUACUCAAUAUUUAUUCCUUCUCUCCAAGUUUGUUCAUUGUUUCCCUUCUCCCUUGUCGGUUUUGCCCUGUAGCACCCUUAGCACAACAUAUAAACCGUAUAUGUCCAGCAGCAUGACAUUUGCCAUUCACCAGCUUUAUGUUUUAGUACUCUCUGUUUCUUAUGUGCAUAGAAAUUUUAUCUAUAUCUGUCAAGUGUUCAUGAGAACAUCCUUUUCUCUAACAUUUUCUAUCUUUCCUUUUUCUCUAUCCCCAAACACUAACAAUCUUAGUUUUUCCCCAUUCUUUUAUGAGAUUAGGAUGCUACCGUAAGGUCGGCAAAACAUGUUGACAAGUGGAAAGGAUAAAUGUACCGUACUGGAUAGAAUUAAAGCUUUAUUCCUUCAAUUUUAAUGCGUAUAAUAUUAAUUCCUGUUUCUCACUGGUUGGAACUCAUGUGAUUUCAUGUUCGGCUUUUCAAACUCCUGUUUCAUCUCCAAGAUCUAAAAAUGUGUGCUUCUAUGUAGGCAUUUACAUGCGUACCCAAGUAUGCAAUUUCUCGCGGCACAGUGAUGGAAAGAAAAAACAAAAAGAAUAAGAAACAAAAACAAAGAAGAACUUCACCAUAAAAUUAGAAAUCUUAAAUGUUAUUUUAUAAAGAAAAGAAAUUGGACUCUGCCAAAUGAAAAUUCCGCUAAUGCACAAAAUCUUAAAUAGGCUCUCCCAAUAAUGAAAUCAGUUUCGCCACCCAUAAAUAACGUGUAUCUCCGCAGUAUCACCAUCAACACCAUCUCCACAUCUCCACAUUUCCACAUUUCCACCCAUUCAAUCGUUGUGUUUUAUUUCUUUUAUUCAGAACCCAUUCCGGACAGGAAAUCGAUAAAAAGCUUAAAAAGGUUUAUCGGACUUUAACGUCCAGAGCCCCGGGAUUCGAACACGUGAAGAGCAUUAGUCGACUAAGGGGUGAGAGAGGCGUAACAUUAAACAUGGAAUGGGAAAAAGGGAAGAAUCCUGCGUGGGAGGAAUUUUUACCAUUCCACUCUAUCCUAGGUGGUUCCUUGAUCGAUUGAUUUGUUCGCGGCAUGGCACGGAAGAAUUAUUAAAAGAGAUAUGGUUUCAAUUCAGUUUCGUUGUUUUCGCCUAUUUACUUUGUCUGUUUGUUAUUCUCCAAAGUGUCGGAAAAUACUUGACUAGGUGCUUUGUUGUCUUGCUCAUUUGAUUGAGGUCGCCUCCCCUUUUCUUUUUCGCUUGGGUUCGUCGUUUAUUGGGUUUUAUUUUGGUCGAGUCUUUGAAAGUAACUCAAUACCCUGGACAUUGGAUAUUCCUCCAUCUGCGAUGGGCGAAUGGGAAAUGCAUCAAGUGGUUUGGAAGCCCGAAUUGUGCCAAACAUAAAUCCUUUGAUAAGGUUUUGUUUUCCUUGGGCUUCGACGGGCGUGGCUAGAACUCCAACCACGCGGUGACAUGUAUAUUUCGGUGAGAUGUUGGGAUGGGAAUGAUAAAGCGACACCUGUCUCACAUUGGCCAGUGGUAGAAAACCUCGUGACGGGCUGGCGUUCAUGGAAAUGAAAAGUACCGCUUUUGUUAGAGCCUUUUGCCAUCCUCAGAUCGACGAAGUUCCGAUUCACUUUGCAACAAGCGAGAACGUGGCCAUCCGUACUUCGGGGGAAUUAGAAUUCGAGGUUUGUGUGAGAUAUUUUUUCCACAUGGCGUCGUCAGUUUCUGGGUGAUCGGCCAAAGUACCUGAUAGGAGGGGGUUGAAUAGCCACGCGAGCAGAUCGACCUCCAUAGCCCCCGGAAAUAGCAGUACGGGGCUGUGUAAACCGAGCAGUGGUAAAUAGAACAAAUCAAGAGUAAGAGGUCAAAAUGCAAUACGUCUCUUGCGACCAGUAUACUUCGAGCUCGGCUUGACGAUUUUGCCCUUGCGUUCCAUCUGCUCCUUCUUCCGCAUGAUCCAAGCCUUGGUCCCCUUGACAUGAGCCGGGCUCACGCCUCUCUUCCCGUGAGACUCAGCCAUGGCCUUCUUCCUCGCAUCUAGAAUAUCAACAUCGUCCAUACCAUCCACAACACCGGUUAUGUCGCCUUGUAGACCACCCCCACCAACAGUCAGCACAAGAUAGAGCUUGCUAUUUUUCGUCCCCGGGUCAUCUUCAAGAAUACCAGCACCAAAUCCAGCCUUCAUAGCCGCGCCGCUAAUCAUACUCCUCUGAGCAUCAUUUUUGGGGUAAAACUGGCAAACCGCACGUGCCCCCCGACGCAAACUGGCGUAUAAUCCAUCAAAGAAUCUGCGCAACCGACCCUCCGGGCUAACAUCGCUAGAAUCUGCAUUACACAGCCACUGAAUGGCACUGAUACUAAUGGCCGCGUCAAAUGUACCCGCGCGAAACGGGAUUCCUUGGCCGAUGUCUGCCAGAAAGAGGUCGCCCUCUACAUCUCUCUGAAGAGCAAUGUCUAGCAUGGAGGGGGAGAUGUCCAGGCCAACCCAGGUGUGGUGUCCACCGUCAGAAGGUGAGACGGCAGAGAGGAUUUCGCCUGAUAAACCGGAGCCGCAGCCAAUAUCGAGGAUGAGAGAGGGAGAUUUGAGGUCGAGGAGUUCGAGGGCGCGGUUGGUCAUGUCUGAUUGAAUGUUGCGGAUUCGGGAGGAGGUGGUGUAUUUGCGGGAUUCGGAGUCAUUGUAAAAGAGAUCUGGGGGCCUGAAUGUUUGUCCAUGUUAGAGAAUACGGUCGCGAUAGUGGAAAAAGAUUCCAAUAUUUAAGCAUCGGGUUUUUGUAGACAUACAGAGUGUCUUCUGGGCGGGACAUUGUGGAAUUGAAAGUUUGCGGAAUCGUCGAUUUCUGGAUACUCUGGCGAACAAAAAGAUAUAUAUAAUACUACGGUUUCUUUUGCUUUUCGGCUUCGUAAUAUUAUCCUUUUCUUCAGAUUUUGAUAGAUAUCGGGGCAACUGAGAUUCUCAAGGCGUUAGAUAGUCUGAGUUGUCCGUGGGGUUGAAAAAGUGCUGAAAAGUUUUAU